AUUAUAGCUGUCUCUUAUUUAAUUAUAUAAAUUAUCUUUUAGGUGCAGAGACCUAAAUACUGAAGAAAGACAAAAAGACCCUAUUGAUCUUUAUUUUUAUUAGAUUUAUUUAGAUUAUUUACUUAUAAACUAUAAAAAAUUUGGUUGGGGCGACAUAGAAAUACAUAAAUCUUUCUUUUAAUUUAAGAGUUAUAAUUCUUUUUAAGGAUCUAUUUUUUAAUAAACAGAAAUAGUUACCAUAGGGAUAACAGGCUAAUUCUUUUGGAGAGUUCAAAUUGAUAAAAGAGUUUGGCACCUCGAUGUUGGCUUAAGAUAUCCUGAAGGUGUAGCAGCUUUCAAGGGUUGGUUUGUUCAACCAUUAAAAUCUU
Molecule: ribosomal RNA, 368 nt
Filed under: Eumida ockelmanni
Lineage: Eukaryota; Metazoa; Annelida; Polychaeta; Phyllodocida; Phyllodocidae
Description: partial large subunit ribosomal RNA
Rfam family: Bacterial large subunit ribosomal RNA (bases 38-368)
Source: RNAcentral